Molecule: non-coding RNA, 106 nt
Organism: Phaseolus vulgaris (common bean)
Lineage: Eukaryota; Viridiplantae; Streptophyta; Magnoliopsida; Fabales; Fabaceae
Source: Rfam
AAGCCAUGAUUAGGAAACCUUCUUAACAUCACUUUAAAAUGUUCCCAAGCUUCACAAAAAGGUUCAUCUGGCCCUUGCUUGAAUGUGGUGAUAUCAGACUUAGCCU